Molecule: small RNA, 631 nt
Filed under: Pongo abelii (Sumatran orangutan)
Lineage: Eukaryota; Metazoa; Chordata; Mammalia; Primates; Hominidae
Description: processed transcript
Source: RNAcentral
GGUUCCAUGCAGGUGAUGAACAAGACCCGGCGCAUCAUGGAGCAGGGCGGGGCACACUUCAUCAACGCCUUCGUGACCACGCCCAUGUGCUGCCCCUCGCGCUCCUCCAUCCUCACCGGCAAGUACGUCCACAACCACAACACCUACACCAACAACGAGAACUGCUCCUCGCCCUCCUGGCAGGCACAGCACGAGAGCCGCACCUUCGCCGUGUACCUCAAUAGCACCGGCUACCGGACAGGUCCUGAGCCGAUUAAGAAAUCAGACCUAGGAGUCAGCAGAUGAAAGUCAACACUGCACUCUGAUGAAUCUGGUGAAGGCUGGGUUUGAGGGCAUGGCUUCCUUCUGACAGCAUUUGGGCUUCCUGACUAAACUCCGGAGUAUGACAGACUUCCCACAGAUGCAGGUCCACACCACUCCUCCCCACGCAGACAAGACAAGCCUCCUGAAAACUAGCACUCCCUGGGGGCAGCUCAGUCCCCAGAGGAAAAGCAAGGGAAGGAUUGGGCUAUGCACGCCCACUUUGGCCCUUCAAACCCACUAGGCACAUGCUAGGGGUCAGCAAACCACAGCCAAUGGACCUAACCAGGCCCUCCAUUUGUUUUAGUAAAUAAAGUUUUAUUGGAACAUA